RNAcentral lists this transfer RNA (74 nucleotides) under Prosthecobacter sp. RNAcentral's name for it is "tRNA-OTHER". The record is from RNAcentral. Lineage: Bacteria; Pseudomonadati; Verrucomicrobiota; Verrucomicrobiia; Verrucomicrobiales; Verrucomicrobiaceae.
GUGCCCUGUAUUUGCUUGAUGGUUUGUGGUCUCCGAAGCCGCAUAUCCAGGUUCGAUUCCUGGCGGGCGCACCA